Molecule: ribosomal RNA, 467 nt
Filed under: uncultured bacterium
Lineage: Bacteria
Description: partial 16S ribosomal RNA
Rfam family: Bacterial small subunit ribosomal RNA
Source: RNAcentral
GACGAACGCUGGCGGCGUGCUUAACACAUGCAAGUCGAACGGAAAGGCCCUGCUUUUGUGGGGUGCUCUAGUGGCGAACGGGUGCGUAACACGUGAGUAACCUGCCCUUGACUUUGGGAUAACUUCAGGAAACUGGGGCUAAUACCGGAUAGGAGCUCCUGCUGCCUGGUGUGGGUUGGAAAGUUUCGGCGGUUGGGUAUGGACUCGCGGCUUAUCAGCUUGUUGGUGGGGUAAUGACUUACCAAGGCUUUGCCGGGUAGCCAGCCUGAGAGGGAGACCGGCCACAUUGGAACUGAGAUACGGCCCAGACGCCUACGGGAGGCAACAGUGGGGAAUAUUGCACAAUGGGCGGAAGCCUGAUGCAGCAACGCCGCGUGCGGGAUGACGGCCUUCGGGUUGUAAACCGCUUUCGCCUGUGACGAGGCGUGGGUGACGGUAAUGGGUAAAGAAGCACCGGCUAACUACGU